ACACAUGCAAGUCGAACGAUGAUCCCAGCUUGCUGGGGGAUUAGUGGCGAACGGGUGAGUAACACGUGAGUAACCUGCCCUUGACUCUGGGAUAAGCCUGGGAAACUGGGUCUAAUACCGGAUACGACCAUCUGGCGCAUGUCAUGGUGGUGGAAAGCUUUUGUGGUUUUGGAUGGACUCGCGGCCUAUCAGCUUGUUGGUGGGGUAAUGGCCUACCAAGGCGACGACGGGUAGCCGGCCUGAGAGGGUGACCGGCCACACUGGGACUGAGACACGGCCCAGACUCCUACGGGAGGCAGCAGUGGGGAAUAUUGCACAAUGGGCGCAAGCCUGAUGCAGCGACGCCGCGUGAGGGAUGACGGCCUUCGGGUUGUAAACCUCUUUCAGUAGGGAAGAAGCGAAAGUGACGGUACCUGCAGAAGAAGCGCCGGCUAACUACGUGCCAGCAGCCGCGGUAAUACGUAGGGCGCAAGCGUUAUCCGGAAUUAUUGGGCGUAAAGAGCUCGUAGGCGGUUUGUCGCGUCUGCUGUGAAAGACCGGGGCUCAACUCCGGUUCUGCAGUGGGUACGGGCAGACUAGAGUGCAGUAGGGGAGACUGGAAUUCCUGGUGUAGCGGUGAAAUGCGCAGAUAUCAGGAGGAACACCGAUGGCGAAGGCAGGUCUCUGGGCUGUAACUGACGCUGAGGAGCGAAAGCAUGGGGAGCGAACAGGAUUAGAUACCCUGGUAGUCCAUGCCGUAAACGUUGGGCACUAGGUGUGGGGGACAUUCCACGUUUUCCGCGCCGUAGCUAACGCAUUAAGUGCCCCGCCUGGGGAG
This 817-nucleotide ribosomal RNA is filed under the name Paenarthrobacter aurescens. RNAcentral's name for it is "bacterial SSU rRNA". It matches the Rfam family "Bacterial small subunit ribosomal RNA", at positions 51 to 880 of the family's 1533-position model. Lineage: Bacteria; Bacillati; Actinomycetota; Actinomycetes; Micrococcales; Micrococcaceae. The record is from RNAcentral.